This is a non-coding RNA of Desulfuromonadales bacterium C00003094, 84 nucleotides long. The record is from Rfam. Lineage: Bacteria; Pseudomonadati; Thermodesulfobacteriota; Desulfuromonadia; Desulfuromonadales.
GCCGAAGUGGUGGAAUUGGUAGACACGCAUGUUUCAGGGACAUGUGUCCGAAAGGACGUGGGAGUUCGAGUCUCCCCUUCGGCA